AGAGUUUGAUCCUGGCUCAGAUUGAACGCUGGCGGCAGGCUUAACACAUGCAAGUCGAGCGGAUGAGAAGAGCUUGCUCUUCGAUUCAGCGGCGGACGGGUGAGUAAUGCCUAGGAAUCUGCCUGGUAGUGGGGGACAACGUUUCGAAAGGAACGCUAAUACCGCAUACGUCCUACGGGAGAAAGCAGGGGACCUUCGGGCCUUGCGCUAUCAGAUGAGCCUAGGUCGGAUUAGCUAGUUGGUGAGGUAAUGGCUCACCAAGGCGACGAUCCGUAACUGGUCUGAGAGGAUGAACAGUCACACUGGAACUGAGACACGGUCCAGACUCCUACGGGAGGCAGCAGUGGGGAAUAUUGGACAAUGGGCGAGAGCCUGUUCCAGCCAUGCCGCGUGUGUGAAGAAGGUCUUCGGAUUGUAAAGCACUUUAAGUUGGGAGGGAGGGCAUUAACCUAAUACGUUAGUGUUUUGACGUUACCGACAGAAUAAGCACCGGCUAACUCUGUGCCAGCAGCCGCGGUAAUACAGAGGGUGCAAGCGUUAAUCGGAAUUACUGGGCGUAAAGCGCGCGUAGGUGGUUUGUUAAGUUGGAUGUGAAAGCCCCGGGCUCAACCUGGGAACUGCAUCCAAAACUGGCAAGCUAGAGUACGGUAGAGGGUGGUGGAAUUUCCUGUGUAGCGGUGAAAUGCGUAGAUAUAGGAAGGAACACCAGUGGCGAAGGCGACCACCUGGACUGAUACUGACACUGAGGUGCGAAAGCGUGGGGAGCAAACAGGAUUAGAUACCCUGGUAGUCCACGCCGU
This 800-nucleotide ribosomal RNA is filed under the name uncultured bacterium. RNAcentral describes it as "bacterial SSU rRNA". It matches the Rfam family "Bacterial small subunit ribosomal RNA", at positions 8 to 803 of the family's 1533-position model. The record is from RNAcentral.